UCGAGAAUCUUGGGCAAUGCACGAAAGUGUGACCCAGCGACGCCGCGUGAUGGAUGAAGGCCCUCUGGGUUGUAAACAUCUUUUAUGGGGAAAGAAUAAAUGACGGUACCCCAUGAAUAAGCCACGGCUAACUACGUGCCAGCAGCCGCGGUAAUACGUAGGUGGCAAGCGUUGUCCGGAUUUACUGGGCGUAAAGCGUAUGCAGGCGGAUGGUUAAGUAGGAAGUGAAAGGUUGGAGCUCAACUCUAACACUGCUUCCUAUACUGGCCGUCUUGAGUGGUGGAGAGGAAAGCGGAACAAGUUGUGUAGCGGUGAAAUGCGUUGAUAUAACUUGGAACACCAAUGGCGAAAGCAGCUUUCUGGACACAAACUGACGCUGAGAUACGAAAGCUAAGGUAGC
This 400-nucleotide ribosomal RNA is filed under the name uncultured bacterium. Its description in RNAcentral is "bacterial SSU rRNA". It matches the Rfam family "Bacterial small subunit ribosomal RNA", at positions 355 to 769 of the family's 1533-position model. The record is from RNAcentral.